CAUAUCCUAUAUUUGUAUAUAUAUAGCACCGAGCAACCGAGAACUGGUUCUUUCAUUAAAACGGUCUUUAAAAAAAGGGACGUGCAAGCAAGAAUUUGGUGCCAAGCAUUUUAUAAUAAUAUUGUGUAUGAAUAAACCGACCAACAGGAGGAUCAAGAACGAAUAUCCAGCAGAUAUCCUUUCAGAUAUGACGUACGAACAGCAAUUUAAAAUGCUGGUUCACGUAUGCUAUAUAAAAUCAGACUUUAAAGGCACAUGUUGAAGUUACAACGUACGAAAUCACCCAACAUCAAAAUUAAAUAGUGGUUGCUUGGUUUGCGCGCUCAAAGUUGCAACUCUGAUAUCUUAUUUAGUUUUGGAAUAAACUUUUGACUCACCAAAUAUAAAUUGAAUAUUCUUGGAACGAUAUACUUGUUCAGUUGAAGAUACUAAAGUCGAGUCAAAGAAAAUUUGAAGAGAAGCAAUGUUGAGCAUCAGGAGCUUUCAGUUGGUUGUUUUCUCUUUAUUCAUCUGUAAUCGUCUAGCAAAUGGACAUCAGUCAUGUUCAACUCGACCUAUAACCGGUGAAAUCCGAACAAGAAACUGUGGAUUGCAAAGAGUUAUAUCAAAAGGAUGUAGUGGAUAUUGUCCAUCACAUUCUUUACCAAGAAUAAAAUGGUCAGAUUUCAAAACAACCUGUACAUGCUGUCAAGUAAAAAAAAAAGAAAUGAAAGUUGUUUUCCUUUGUGGAGGCAAAGAAUCAUACACAAUUCCAGUGGCGAAAAAAUGUGCUUGUCGACCAUGUUAGAUAUAAAGUUGAAAGGAAACGUUCCAAUUCGCACGAUUUGGACAUUUUAUAAAAGGAAAACAAAACCCUGUUGAAAUGCGCCAAUGUAUUAUUCCAAAGUACGCAAAAUGUUUAACUCAGAGAGCUGUGUUUGAGUGCUUCAAAACAUAUCUGUGAAAUUCACAAUUAUCACUUUGUAAGUAGUUUUGCGUGUAAAUUUUUUUAAAUUAUUGUCUUAAGUUUGUUUUCAACGUACCGGAGGUCAAAUUUCCGAACUUUUUAUUUUAACCAUCGAUCGAUCACUUAAAUUCUUUGUAGAUCAGUGAACACUUUCACAAAUAAAAAAGCAGAUAAAUUUUAUUAAGCAUAUUGUUUGAUGAGUGCGGAUCACUGACUGAAUGGUCCAUCUACGACCAUUCAUGAGACGUUUUUAUAUACAGAUUAAAACAAAUGUAUUCCUUGUAUAGAUAGAAUAGUUAAUCGACGAUAGGCUUUGUUUCAUUAAACAAAAAAAUCGUGUUACAAAUAACCGUAAUGUCAACUUUGUUUUGUUAAUAAAAUAAAAAUAAUGGA
Molecule: long non-coding RNA, 1339 nt
Organism: Xenia sp. Carnegie-2017
Lineage: Eukaryota; Metazoa; Cnidaria; Anthozoa; Malacalcyonacea; Xeniidae
Exons: 3
Source: RefSeq, a predicted model, not a curated record